This 253-nucleotide ribosomal RNA is filed under the name uncultured bacterium. RNAcentral describes it as "partial 16S ribosomal RNA". It matches the Rfam family "Bacterial small subunit ribosomal RNA", at positions 524 to 776 of the family's 1533-position model. The record is from RNAcentral.
UACAGAGGGUGCGAGCGUUGUCCGGAAUCACUGGGCGUAAAGGGCGCGUAGGUGGCCCGACAAGUCAGUGGUGAAAGCUCGACGCUCAACGUCGAGUCGGCCACUGAUACUGUUGGGCUGGAGCACUGUAGAGGCAGAUGGAAUUCCGGGUGUAGCGGUGGAAUGCGUAGAGAUCCGGAAGAACACCAACGGCGAAAGCACUCUGCUGGGCCGACACUGACACUGAGAGACGAAAGCUAGGGGAGCAAAUGGG